GACGAACGCUGGCGGCGUGCUUAACACAUGCAAGUCGAACGGAAAGGCCCUGCUUUUGUGGGGUGCUCGAGUGGCGAACGGGUGAGUAACACGUGAGUAACCUGCCCUUGACUUUGGGAUAACUUCAGGAAACUGGGGCUAAUACCGGAUAGGAGCUCCUGCUGCAUGGUGGGGGUUGGAAAGUUUCGGCGGUUGGGGAUGGACUCGCGGCUUAUCAGCUUGUUGGUGGGGUAGUGGCUUACCAAGGCUUUGACGGGUAGCCGGCCUGAGAGGGUGACCGGCCACAUUGGGACUGAGAUACGGCCCAGACUCCUACGGGAGGCGGCAGUGGGGAAUAUUGCACAAUGGGCGGAAGCCAGAUGCAGCAACGCCGCGUGCGGGAUGACGGCCUUCGGGUUGUAAACCGCUUUCGCCUGUGACGAAGCGUGAGUGACGGUAAUGGGUAAAGAAGCACCGGCUAACUACGUG
This 468-nucleotide ribosomal RNA is filed under the name uncultured bacterium. Its description in RNAcentral is "partial 16S ribosomal RNA". It matches the Rfam family "Bacterial small subunit ribosomal RNA", at positions 28 to 507 of the family's 1533-position model. The record is from RNAcentral.